Molecule: long non-coding RNA, 2548 nt
Organism: Passer montanus (Eurasian tree sparrow)
Lineage: Eukaryota; Metazoa; Chordata; Aves; Passeriformes; Passeridae
Exons: 3
Source: RefSeq, a predicted model, not a curated record
UAAAAGUGACAGCCUGAGUUUACCCUCCUUAGCAAGGGUUUCACCUUCUUUAGAGUUUUGACUUGUAAUGCCAGGGAAGCAGAUUACAUGGCAUCCUGUUUUUGCAUUUUGCAAUUACAGAAAUGUACCACUGACAUAUACCAGUAUGCCAGGUGUGUUGGGACAAACAACCCCAAACUAAAAUACACCAGGGACUUCAGUAAACUGCUACAGCAAACAAAAGGAAACCAACAACAAAAACACCCAUUGUGUUUUCCCACAAUUUUUACCGUGCUGCAGCCUUUACAGACAGGACUUGCAUAUUUCCUGCCAGGUUUUUCGAAGCAGAAAUACACAUACAUGCAUUCUAUACCUUGCCUAUGGCAGGCUUGGGAGCAGAGAUGCCCAAGUGCAGCAGGAUGGACCCAAGCUGCUGUCGGUGCACCUCCCUGUUGAGCACAUGGCCCCAGCAGAGCCAGGACUCUCUGCAGCACACUGUGCACAGACCAUGAGUCCCAGCCAAGCUCCUGCAGCCUAGAAGGCAAAAGUUCCUAAUAGGAAGAGGAAAAAAAGGAAAGCAUCUGUCUGAUGUCCUGCUGCGUGAGAGGCACAGCCCUGAGGAAUGAGUCUCACUGCCUUCCUGGGAGUCACGGCCAAUUGAAAAUGCAGACAGAACUGUGAUGCAGGAAACACAGCAAGAGUGACCCCCAAUCCCACUAUUUUGAGCUGCUGAACAUUCUCCUGGAAUGUGACAGAGCAGUUCAGAACAGGUUGGGCUUUCUGUACUUUGUCACAUCACUGGACUAGACCUGAAAGCUGAGAACCUUGGCAUGGGAUUCGGCACAGCAAGUACGACACCUUAUCAUGGCACUGUGUACAUGUCUGUGUGUGUGCUGAGGUGUGAGUUGGAUAUCUCAGCUGCCUCUCAUGACCAGUCUCAGUGUAUCCAGAGAACUCCAGAAAGUUCUUCUGAAACAGACAUCUACCUCUGGUGCCUGAACAGUGAUCCUGUCUCCAGCAGCAGAGUUCAACAGACUGUAAUGGAACCCCAGACAUGGGGGCAUCUCCAGGGACCUGUAUUUAGAUGGCAUCAGCUGUGAGCUGGCUUCCAGCUCAUUCAGUUACCUAAAAAUAGACACCUGGUCCUACUUGAGGCAGGCUGGAAUACUCUCCCUAUCUCUCAUCUGUCACUCUGGAAGACAGAAGUCUUCCACAAGUCCUUUGUCAUGCCUGCUAGUCUCAGGCAAAUACCUUGUAUGGGCAAUCCUGGCUUUCUAAAGUAUCAGUGAAUAUUUAUGUUUAGGUAAAUGACUCAAGUCCUCUUACUAUUUCUGUGUGGUUGUGGGAAAUGGAAAUACAAAGCUGAAAAUUAUAUUGCUGCUGUGUCAUUGCUAGCCAGGGUGGAUAUAUAAUGGAAAAUCCCAGACAGCAUUUAUUCUGCAGCAAAUGCCAAUGGGAUCACUGCAGAUGAGCUGGCUGCUGGCACAAACUGUGUCAGCCUGGAGCUGCCUCUGUGCAUUUGUCAUCACUGACAUUGCUGAUCUGUCUGGGUUUGGGACUGGUCCUAGGGCUACAUGAUUGCAGGAGACAGCAUGAGGCUCAUCGCUCUGCACCCCACAGGGCAGCAGUGCUGCCAGACAGCUCUGAGACAUGUUUACUACUCCUGGGACAACCAAAUACCAAUUGCUGAGCAGACCUUUUACAGAAACUUAGGAGCUAACUGUAGCUGUUGCUGAUUGUUAAAUGCCAUGAGCAUACUGAUAAAUCAGAUGCACUGAAAGCUCUUUUUUGUAGUGUUUAUUCCUUAGAGUGGUUUUGUCUUCCUAGCAGCUUUACUGCCCACAAAACUCUGGGUUGAUUUUUAACAAAUUAACUGGAAAACAGGUUUGAAUGCCUGCCAGGGCUGCUUGUGGUCUCCUCCAAUCACUGUGGCAUGCAGCAGAGUUAGUAACACGCAUUGCAGACUAUUGGUGACCCAGCGCCACACCCCUACUCGCGAAGGGCAUUACAGGUGGAAUUCAACCUUCACACAGGGGUGGAUCAGACAGUUUGGACCACUCUCAGUGUUACCAGGCUUGUGUCAUUGCCUCACAGACCACAGGAAGCUGUUUGCUCAGGCAUAAAACUAUGUUUGUGUUGACACAGAAGCACUUGUUUCUGCUUAGCUAGCGCCUGUUAUAAAACAUUCUGAUCUCACAACUUUCCCUUGCUUCUAAUCAGCUUCAUCUCAGGUUUUACAUAAAUACACAAUGAAGAAAGCUUCAUUUCCAAGCUCUGCCCAGGGACACCUGAAGUUUUCAUUUUUCACGUUAUUAAUGGGGAUGUCCAGAAGUCUUCUGCUGUACAAAUUCAUUCAUGUGCUUCUCCUCCAUAGCCUUGCCCUCUUUUGCCUGCGUUCCUCCUACUCCUGCUACUUUCUACUCCUCCUACUCCUGACUCUGCAGGCUCUGAGCCUAUCUUCUGUAGCCAAAGGAUGGGACCAGUCUUUGGGAGACAUGUCACACUUCCAAAAGCUUUUGAUGAUUUUUCAAGGCCACUGGAUUGUCAGUUCACUUGAGGAAAAAAAAAA